Molecule: ribosomal RNA, 292 nt
Filed under: uncultured bacterium
Lineage: Bacteria
Description: partial 16S ribosomal RNA
Rfam family: Bacterial small subunit ribosomal RNA
Source: RNAcentral
GUGCCAGCAGCCGCGGUAAUACGGAGGGUGCAAGCGUUAUCCGGAAUCACUGGGUUUAAAGGGUGCGUAGGCGGCUAGGUAAGUCAGGGGUGAAAGGUCACGGCUCAACUGUGGAAUUGCCUUUGAUACUGCCAAGCUUGAAUCAGGAUGAGGUCGGCGGAAUGUGGCAUGUAGCGGUGAAAUGCAUAGAUAUGCCAUAGAACACCAAUUGCGAAGGCAGCUGGCUAGACCUUGAUUGACGCUGAGGCACGAAAGCGUGGGGAGCGAACAGGAUUAGAAACCCUAGUAGUCC